This 468-nucleotide ribosomal RNA is filed under the name uncultured bacterium. RNAcentral's name for it is "partial 16S ribosomal RNA". It matches the Rfam family "Bacterial small subunit ribosomal RNA", at positions 28 to 507 of the family's 1533-position model. The record is from RNAcentral.
GACGAACGCUGGCGGCGUGCUUAACACAUGCAAGUCGAACGGAAAGGCCCUGCUUUUGUGGGGUGCUCGAGUGGCGAACGGGUGAGUAACACGUGAGUAACCUGCCCUUGACUUUGGGAUAACUUCAGGAAACUGGGGCUAAUACCGGAUAGGAGCUCCUGCUGCAUGGUGGGGGUUGGAAAGUUUCGGCGGUUGGGGAUGGACUCGCGGCUUAUCAGCUUGUUGGUGGGGUAGUGGCUUACCAAGGCUUUGACGGGUAGCCGGCCUGAGAGGGUGACCAGCCACAUUGGGACUGAGAUACGGCCCAGACUCCUACGGGAGGCAGCAGUGGGGAAUAUUGCACAAUGGGCGGAAGCCUGAUGCAGCAACGCCGCGUGCGGGAUGACGGCCUUCGGGUUGUAAACCGCUUUCGCCUGUGACGAAGCGUGAGUGGCGGUAAUGGGUAAAGAAGCACCGGCUAACUACGUG